Molecule: ribosomal RNA, 619 nt
Filed under: Serratia nematodiphila
Lineage: Bacteria; Pseudomonadati; Pseudomonadota; Gammaproteobacteria; Enterobacterales; Yersiniaceae
Description: bacterial SSU rRNA
Rfam family: Bacterial small subunit ribosomal RNA
Source: RNAcentral
GGGUGAGUAAUGUCUGGGAAACUGCCUGAUGGAGGGGGAUAACUACUGGAAACGGUAGCUAAUACCGCAUAACGUCGCAAGACCAAAGAGGGGGACCUUCGGGCCUCUUGCCAUCAGAUGUGCCCAGAUGGGAUUAGCUAGUAGGUGGGGUAAUGGCUCACCUAGGCGACGAUCCCUAGCUGGUCUGAGAGGAUGACCAGCCACACUGGAACUGAGACACGGUCCAGACUCCUACGGGAGGCAGCAGUGGGGAAUAUUGCACAAUGGGCGCAAGCCUGAUGCAGCCAUGCCGCGUGUGUGAAGAAGGCCUUCGGGUUGUAAAGCACUUUCAGCGAGGAGGAAGGUGGUGAGCUUAAUACGCUCAUCAAUUGACGUUACUCGCAGAAGAAGCACCGGCUAACUCCGUGCCAGCAGCCGCGGUAAUACGGAGGGUGCAAGCGUUAAUCGGAAUUACUGGGCGUAAAGCGCACGCAGGCGGUUUGUUAAGUCAGAUGUGAAAUCCCCGGGCUCAACCUGGGAACUGCAUUUGAAACUGGCAAGCUAGAGUCUCGUAGAGGGGGGUAGAAUUCCAGGUGUAGCGGUGAAAUGCGUAAAGAUCUGGAGGAAUACCGGUGGCGAA